This 28-nucleotide small RNA is filed under the name Bombyx mori (domestic silkworm). RNAcentral describes it as "ovarian small RNA-36720". Lineage: Eukaryota; Metazoa; Arthropoda; Insecta; Lepidoptera; Bombycidae. The record is from RNAcentral.
UUAGCCACAAUUCUGCUGUUCCAGCUAA